Long non-coding RNA from Pipra filicauda (Wire-tailed manakin), 4283 nucleotides. RefSeq lists it as uncharacterized. The transcript has 2 exons. Lineage: Eukaryota; Metazoa; Chordata; Aves; Passeriformes; Pipridae. The record is from RefSeq and is a predicted model, not a curated record.
UUAUAUCUCUUUGGGUUCAUUUCUCCUGCCAGUUUACCUUUAAACCAGCACAACAAGGAUGGGAUCCCCACCAGCCUCUCUUCUCCAUGCCCAACUGUCUUAGCCUCAGGGAGUCAACAAGGAAAUGUUCUUUCCUGGACUUGAUAGUUACAAACAAGGAAGAAUUGGUCAGGGAUAUGAAAGUUGGAGCAGCCUUGGCUGAAUGGCCAUAUGACCACUGGGGUCACAUGAUCAAAGAGAAUACAGGAGGAGGAGUAUCCAAAGAGGAGGAAGCAGGGCAAAAAUCAGGACUACAAAUCUGCAUUUCAGGAACUCAGACUCCAACUUCUUCAGAGAGCUUCUUGGAAUAAUCCCAUAGGAUAUGACCCUGCAUAGAAGAAGGGUCCAGGAGAGCUGGUUGAUAUUCAAAUAUCGCCUCCUUCAAGCUCAAGAAAGCUCCAUCCCAGCAAAUAAGAGAUCAAUCAAAGGCAGCAGGAGACCUGCAUGGAUGAGCAAGGAGUUCCUACAUUAAUUCAGACAUAAAAAGGAAGUGCACAAGAUGAGGAAGAUGAUAAGUGACCCAGAGAGUGGGUGGAAUAUAUCUUUAAUAAGGGUAUAUUUGUCAGAAAAAUAACAGAAGGUACUUCUUCUCAGUGUUGGAGCUCGUUUUAUUUUAUUUUAUUAGGAUAUCUUGUUUGAUUAGCCCUUUCUAUCUGGAAAGUUGAGGAAAAAACACUUAAGGGCUAAUUUUGCUCACCACAUAAUAAGGGGAAAGAUGAAAGAGGGAAAGAAUAUUUAAGGGUUUAAUUCUAGGUAUAGGAAACACGUCUUCUGUACUUCUGGAACUUUGUUCACAUGACAGCCAUAUUCUCUUGGAGGUGAAAACCUUGCGGGCAUUAACCACCAUGCAAGUUCUGCAGUGUGGCCAUAGCAGAAAUAAAAAGAAACACAGGCCAGACGUGUAUCAGAAAAAAGAAUGACUGACUGAGAAUCAGGACCAUGGCAUGUUCCAGCCCUAAGUCUAUAAGUACACUGAGUAAGAAUUAAAUGAUCUUAUUUCUCUGUCAUUUGGAAUACUCUGCAGUGGGAGCUUCCAGGAGUGCUGGAUCAUGUGCUGACAAUACUGCUAUUAGGCUGUUUGCACUGACAAAUAUAAUAAGAAGCAAGAUGGUGGGGACUGAACAUGGAAGCCUCUGUAAAAUCUGCAGGCAAUAUUAACUCUCAGAAAGAAGAGAAGCCACCAGACAAGGAGAAACAGGUUAAAAAUAAUUGGCAAGAACCUUUGGAAACUUAGAAACCAACAGAUGGGAGAAACCAUAUUGCCUGGAGUUUGACUGGAUCUAAGAAAUAGAGCCAAACCCAGACCUCCAAACCAGUGAAGAGCUGAUGAUAGAAGCACUGCCUAUAUUGAUCUGAAGGGCAUGGAAUGGGGCAAAAGGAAUAGGGGAAGAUACUAUCACUGCAGUGGAGAAGAUCUGAUGGAGAAUGAAAAUGGGCAUCUUUUUAUUUCAAAGAAUACAGUUACAGAAAAAUUGAGAGAAGAAUUAAGCUUCUUAAUUAUGUUAUAAGCACAUAGCUUCUUCUGGAAGCUAAUAUGGCAGAAUUAUUUUUUAAAAUAAACAAGAUGAAAUCAGGUUUCUUGGGAACAGCAAAAUAACAUACUGGUAAAUCUCUUGGUUAAUUAUGAAAUGAAAAAGAUAACAAAAACCAAUAAGCUAGUAGUCUGAAGGUAUCUCUGGAACAGAUGAACAGUUACACAUAACAACUUUGGAGAAAGCUUGACGAGAUUAAAUUGGAAGAUUAUCAUGGCAUCCCUAUCAUUAAUGCCAUCUUCAUUACAUCAUCCUCAAAUCAAAGGAAAUGAGAAGGGAACAUCAAUAUGAGAUUUAAAAGAAAGAUACUCCUGGGGGAUCAAAUAUUUUAUAUUUGUCAGCUACUCAAGAAAAACAUGGAAAAUAAUAUUAAAUAUAUUUAUUUUGUAAAAUCUGGGGGGGGGGGGAGAAACACAUCAUGACAUUCUGUAAAAUAGCCUUGGGUUUUCAUGAAAAGUUAGGAAUCUCAAAAUAUUUAAAUGAUAAAAUUAGAUGUUUGAAGCUGAAAAAUACACUAUAUAGAUAAAGAGGGAAAUCUCUUCACUGUAUCAGUUUAGGAAUACUCUGGGAUGUUCUGUAUCUUCUUUAAAAUUACUACUUAAAAUGAUUUAAGAGAAGAUAAAAUUUUCAGAAUAUCACAAGUACAGAAGAGUUCCACCAUCUCUUUAGACAUGUUAAUAACAUGGUUAUGAUACAAGAUAUUUAAGAUGUGGAAAAAAUAAUUAUUGGAUUUGAACAAAAGAAUUUAAGAUCAACAAGUAGAAGAAACUUAUUAUUGUAAGCUGACAAAUUAUAUUAGCCACCAGCCUGUAAACAUAAAUAUCAGUAAGUUAAAGCAAUUUAAAUGGCUACAAGCAUUAACUGAGAAUUGUUUGGGGACAGCGUAUAUUAAGGCCUGGGUGCAAAGACAGAAUGUUUAUAAUUAUUCUUCAGAUAAUUUCAGCACUAAAAAUUAAUUGUGAAAUACUUUCUAUAUAAAAGAUACUUAAAAGUGUUGGUUUUUACAGAUGGAACAUUUGAGUAAGAAAGACAAUUCAAUAUAUUAUAAAAUUAAGUACCUAUUUAUAUUUGGGUUAGAGAAUUUUGUUUUUCAUUAAAUUUAUAGGAACAUAAUUGUCAUUUGAAUUUUCCAUUCCUUCUUUGAGAAUACCUUGAAAUAAUAAAUAGGUUCAAAAGGAAGAAUACACUCAAGUGUCAUUUUCAUAGGAAAUAGGCUGGUUUCACUUUCCCUAAACAUUUUCCACUUCGAGUUUUUGAAGGAUCAUCACCUCUCAAGGACCACUGAAGAUUCAAUGUUGUUUAACAGAACUAAAAAUUUGAGACAGUCAUACCAACCAAAAAAAAAAAAGUAGCAGCGUGUAAUGCAAUGCUGUACAAUACUGAUGCAGCUGUUUUUCUUACUAAAGCAAUCUGAGGACUGAUGAACAUCGAAAUACUGAGUUGCAAGUUAUCCCUUUGAUAUUGUCACGGUUCAUUGAAGCUGAAAGAAGCUGUGCACUUCAAGGAGUGAAAUCUGUGCAGUGUCUUUUUUUUUCACCCUUUGAGCAUCUAACAUGAGGAUAUUUGCAGCCUGAAAGUUGUUAGUUUAUCAACUAGUUUUUAGACAUGACCUGCUUGAAAAUGCAGUGCUGUAACAAAAAGGGUAAAGAAGUAUAAGCAAACCCAGUCAAGUAAUUUGUGUUGCUCUUUUUCUCAGAAGUAUUUGCUGAUGACAACCUUAGUCUUCUUGUGUGCAUAAACUAUAUACAAAUGGGCAAUGGAAAGAGCACUUCUGGGCAUUUACUGAGCAGCCAGAGUAGGGGAAAGCCAGUACAGUGCUCAGGAGUGAUCCAGCUGGCAGCUGGCAUCUGGCAUGUGUCCUAGCCAUCAAGUUUCCUCCUGCAUUAAGGAAGAAGUCUUUGUCCUGUACUUAUUCAGUUAUUCAGGCCAAUAUAUUUUUUAAAAUAGGUCCUAAAAAUGUAUUUUUAAAAAUUAGGCCCGAAAUCCAUACAUUCAACUUAAGGAAAUUGAACUUUCUAAAUUAUUAGGCAUCUGGAAAUUUCCCCAUCAGCUGGCUGGACUACAUAUUAAGAAAUCAAACGUACCAAGGCUGUUCUCUGGAACUAAAGGCAAUUGGCAUGGAGCAGCCCCCACCCCCACAGCUAUGAGACUAGGCUGUCCAGAACAGGGUGGCCUGACCUAAGUUGCCUGUUGGGAACGGUCCCUUACCCAUGGCGUUACCCAAACAUUCCUGGGAACUGUUAAAAAGCUGGCAAAGUCCAGACUUCUCCAAUGGAUUGUACUUGCAUUUUAAUGAUAUAAAGCAUUAAAUUAAAGUGCCUGAGUAUUCUCUCCAGUGUUUUUCAAUGGCUAUCACAGACAUGGCUAGUAAGUACUCCUAGGUGCUCAGGAUUUCUAAACACAGAGCCUCUUGUUUGAUUUUUUUUUUUUUUUACUAUUUCACUGUUCCUGUUUGGUAAAGAUUAGCCUAAGUCACUUUAUUAAUUUUCUAAUCUCAGUGAGAAAAAACCUUCCAUCAUAUCCUUCCCACCAGACUAGAAUGUUCUUUCCAGCUUUUCACCACCUCACUUUCUCAGAUAUGGGGUUAACAUUAGCCUGUGAAAGUUAAACUUUAUGCAGUCCUUUGUGAAUUCGGUCUUGUUCCAUGUACUGUACUUUUUAGGCAGGCAGACCACAAUCCUCUUGCUUGUAUUAAACAAUAUCUUAAUCUAA